UAAGUGGUGGAAAUUAAACCAACUGGGAUCUCUUCAGUAAUUGCGCAUGAACCAGGAUAUGCUUAGCUUGACAAAUGGAGCUGCUGGCUCUGAAUUGUAUUGUGGGAAUGUAUUACCAACAGAGGUGCAGGUGUCAGCCAUUUGAAAGAAAGCAUCAAUGAGGGUGAGAGUCCUGUUUGUCAUGUGCAGCCUUCUGUGCACGGUGUAUAUUUGCUGAGUCACACUCCUCGGCAUUGGAAUGCAAAGUGGGUGGUAAGUUUCAUGCAAAGGUAAAUAUGCAAUUGAGACUGAUAGCGCACAAGUACCAUGAGGGACAUAUGAAAAGGACUUUGAACAGAGAAUUAAAUGAGUUUGUAUUUGCUAAACACAAAGUAAACAGACUUGAUUUCCUCAGUGAGAUUGUAAUGCUUGCUUGACAAUGGGUUUUGGCUGCAAGUGCAAUAAUUCUUGCUUUGUGUGCCAGUUUUUAUGUGGACAUUUGAUUACCUUUGUACAUGAAUGGUAAUUUUCCUGCGGGGUGUGGAUUGCAUAUGCAUGUAAUGAUUUGCAUGUUUGUUAAAUGUGUCUGGUGUAUUUGUUUGUGUCCUUGUCCUUGAGGUUGCUUUCUCCCUUGGGCUUACAUGCCCUGGCACACACAUUCUGGCAAAAUGCUUCUGCUUGACCCG
This 665-nucleotide ribosomal RNA is filed under the name Alexandrium sp. YOC98b. Its description in RNAcentral is "LSU rRNA". It matches the Rfam family "Eukaryotic large subunit ribosomal RNA", at positions 47 to 651 of the family's 3401-position model. The record is from RNAcentral. Lineage: Eukaryota; Dinophyceae; Gonyaulacales; Pyrocystaceae.